AUCAACUUUCGAUGGUAGGAUAGAGGCCUACCAUGGUGGUAACGGGUAACGGGGUGUUAGGGCACGACACCGGAGAGGGAGCCUGAGAAACGGCUACCACAUCCAAGGAUGGCAGCAGGCGCGCAAAUUACCCAAUCCCGACACGGGGAGGUAGUGACAAUAAAUAACAAUACGGGGUCCUUUCGGGUUUCGUAAUUGGAAUGAGUACAAUUUAAAUCUCUUAACGAGGAACAAUUGGAGGGCAAGUCUGGUGCCAGCAGCCGCGGUAAUUCCAGCUCCAAUAGCGUAUAUUAAAGUUGUUGCAGUUAAAAAGCUCGUAGUUGAAUUUCGGGACUAGUACGCUGGUCGUGCCUUCGGUAUGUACUGGUGUUACUGGUUCCUACCUUCUGACGAACCGUCAUGUCAUUAAUUUGGUGUGGCGGGGAAUCAGGACUGUUACUUUGAAAAAAUUAGAGUGUUUAAAGCAGGCUCGCGCUUGAAUACAUUAGCAUGGAAUAAUGAAAUAGGACGUUCGAUCCUAUUUUGUUGGUUUCUAGGAUUGACGUAAUGAUUAAUAGGGAUAGUUGGAGGCAUUAGUAUUCAAUUGUCAGAGGUGAAAUUCUUGGAUUUAUUGAAGACUAACUACUGCGAAAGCAUUUGCCAAGGAUGUUUUCAUUAAUCAAGAACGAAAGUUAGGGGAUCGAAGACGAUCAGAUACCGUCGUAGUCUUAACCAUAAACUAUGCCGACUAGGGAUCGGAUGAUGUUAUUUUUAAUGACUCAUUCGGCGCCUUACGGGAAACCAAAGUGUUUGGGUUC
RNAcentral lists this ribosomal RNA (797 nucleotides) under uncultured Glomeromycotina. RNAcentral describes it as "SSU rRNA". It matches the Rfam family "Eukaryotic small subunit ribosomal RNA", at positions 314 to 1114 of the family's 1831-position model. Lineage: Eukaryota; Fungi; Glomeromycota. The record is from RNAcentral.